This 300-nucleotide ribosomal RNA is filed under the name uncultured archaeon. Its description in RNAcentral is "bacterial SSU rRNA". The stretch from base 58 to 300 matches the Rfam family "Bacterial small subunit ribosomal RNA", at positions 553 to 795 of the family's 1533-position model. The record is from RNAcentral.
CUGGACUGUUGGACGCAGGCGUGGUUAAGAAGACUGGUGGAGGCGUGAACGGUAUGGACGGGGCGUAAAGCGUGCGUAGGCGGUGAUGUAAGUCUGCGGUGAAAUCCCCGGGCGCAAACUGUGAAUGGCAGUGGAUAGUGGGGGGCGAUAGUGUGAUAGAGGGUGGUGGAAUUCGCGGUGUAGCGGGGAAAUGCGUAGAGAUCGUGAGGAACAUCAGGGGCGAAGGCGGCCAUCUGGAUCAACACGGUCGCUGAGGCACGAAAGCGUGGGGAGCAAACAGGAUUAGAUACCCGUGUAGUC